This 633-nucleotide ribosomal RNA is filed under the name uncultured eukaryote. Its description in RNAcentral is "SSU rRNA". It matches the Rfam family "Eukaryotic small subunit ribosomal RNA", at positions 341 to 999 of the family's 1831-position model. The record is from RNAcentral.
CUACCGUGGCAGUCACGGGUAACGGAGAAUUAGGGUUCGAUUCCGGAGAGGGAGCCUGAGAAACGGCUACCACAUCUACGGAAGGCAGCAGGCGCGCAAAUUGCCCAAUCCCGACACGGGGAGGCAGUGACAAGAAAUAACAACUCUAGGUUUUCUUAGAAGUGUAAUGAGGAUAAUUUACAAACCUUACCAAAUGCAAUUGGAGGGCAAGUCUGGUGCCAGCAGCCGCGGUAAUUCCAGCUCCAAUAGCGUAUAUUAAAGUUGUUGCAGUUAAAAAGCUCGUAGUUGAAAAUCUGAUUGCUCAGGUCUCCGGCCUUUAGGCGGGGAUUCUGACAGUCAUCCGCUUGCAAACAUAUGUUCGAUCUUCACCGGUUGGCUAUGUGAGUAAGCACUUUACCUUGAGAAAAACAGAGUGUUCCAGGCAGGUUUGUCCGGAAUGCAUUAGCAUGGAAUAAUAGAACAUGACUGAAGUCUAUUUAUUGGUUAAAGGCUUUAGUAAUGAUUAAUAGGAACAGUCGGGGGCAUUCGUACUCAGCAGUCAGAGGUGAAAUUCUAAGAUUUGCUGAAGACGAACUAAUGCGAAAGCAUUUGCCAAGGAUGUUUUCAUUAAUCAAGAACGAAAGUUAGGGGAUC